This 145-nucleotide non-coding RNA is filed under the name human gut metagenome. The record is from RNAcentral.
GAAGAAGCAAUAGCGAAAUCGUGGCUCGACGGACAGAAAUCUGAUACAAAGGCGUAUCAAGCGGACAAGCUGGCGAAAGGCAGCAAAAUCCCAAAGGCAACCGUAACCUUGAUGCGUAAAUCAGGCGAGUAAACGAGGAAAGAUG